Notechis scutatus (mainland tiger snake) is the source of this 3399-nucleotide non-coding RNA. The record is from RefSeq and is a predicted model, not a curated record. NCBI's taxonomy places the organism in Eukaryota, Metazoa, Chordata, Lepidosauria, Squamata, Elapidae.
UUACAUUUUGCAGGCUAAGUUUAUUUUAAGCUUGAGGUAUUCUAAGCAAAUGUAUUUUUUCUAAGCAAUUUGUCACCAUAAAUAACAGAGGUGCAAAAAAAAAUGUACAGUAGCUUAACUAUGGCGUGUGAAUUUGCUUACUGUUCCUGGCCCUUAUGAAACAGGGCACUUCUCUGUUUCUCAGCUCACUGUUGCAAAAUUGAGGGUGCUUUUCACACUCUUAUGAUUAAGUUUCACAACUUACCUUACAUGUAUAUUAUUUGUAGAAAUAGAAACAGCCAUGCAGACAAACAUUUUUCUCUUGCAACUGUUGUUAACCUGGAUGAUCAAUGCAAUCUUAAAAAGUAAGUAGCGGUGCUCUGGUUUAGUCACAAAUAUUCCCUUUCUUUUUAUUUAAAGAAUUCAAGGUCUACUUUCCCCAUAUGGUCUUCCUGUAGAUUUCUGGACUGCCAUAAGUUGAUGGUGGCUGGAAUUUCUGAGAAAAGCAGUCUUGAGACAUAGGAAGCUGCCUACUUACUGUAUUUUUGGAAAACUGUUGUUGAGUUCUAAAAUUACUCCAGAAAUAUAUUAUUUCAGGAUGUGUAAAUAUAAGAUUCCACUUCAGUGUAGGUUUUCAAAAUUUCAAUCAAGAGUUGAUCUAUAAAUUUAGUCUGAAUAGCUGAAUCCCCUUUGAAUUAUAGCAUUAAAUUGUCCUAGAAAGCACCAGAAUCUCAUCAAAUUUCUGAACUGCUUUUGAAUCUCUAUGAAGGCAUAUGAUGAGAUACAAUUUAUUCAGUGCCCUGAAUCAAUUCACAGAAUUAAUUUAUGGAGCUGAUUCAACUGAAUCUCCUUCAAAUUGAAUUAUCUCUUCAAAGUUUUGAGCAUCCCAAUUCCAUAUUCUGAAAUUCUAGUCCAGCCUCAUCUGUUAUAUGCUGAGUAUAAGAACAUUAUUUUUCAUGCAAGAACAUUCAAUUGCAUGUAUUCCAAAUUGUACCAUAAUCUGCAGAAAAAGAAGACAAUUCCACGGGUAAAACGUGUUUAGCAUUGGAGUGGGUAGUAAUGAGAAAUUCACAUCACACUUUAAGUAAGUGCUAGAUGGCACCACUCAAAUCAUCUUGUUAAUCUUAAGAACCUUAUAAAACACAUUAAAAUGUGAUUGCAGCACAGUGGAUUUUUUUUUAUAACAACAUGGUCUUCCCAGACACUCUCAUAAUUUAUUCUAAAUCCCUUUGCUAAAAUGGAGUGCUUCAUCUAUUAACAUUCCUAGGUUGAGACAAAGAUGGCCCUAAUGUCUGUUUUUUAAAAGAUAUCCAAUAAAGAGAAAGUUUUGCACAGAAUUUCCCCUUUGUGUGUUGUCAUUUCUCAACUGGACACAAAUUAUGCUGCUUUCAUUCUCUAUGCUAAGAUUUCAUUCCUUAGCAUCUGGCAGGCACAUGGAAUUUGGUAGCUUUUUAGGUUUAAAUAUUGCAUUAUAAAAUCAUCUACUUUAGCUUUAGAUUAUUUCCAUGAAAUAGUAAUGAAAUUCUUUUUUUCUCCAGUUUCUAAUUAUUGGAAAAUUAAAAUGUAUUUAUUAAUAUACUGGUAAAUAUAUCACGUUAUAUUGCAUUGUGCAUCUGACAGAACUCACAGUGCACAUUUAGAGCAUAGUAAUGCAUUGCCUGUUUGCUGUAUUUAUUUAAAACUAUUUUACAUAUUCAAUUUCUAUAGCUGCCCAUCUCAAUCAAUGACUUUUCACUGUUAGCAAGUUUUUGUUACUUGCUUUUAAGAAUGUUAUAUGAAAUGUGAACAUUCAGACCUUACUAUGUACAGGAAAGGUUUCAAUGAUGAACGGAUACUGAGUUCCUUAUUUAUUCUUUUUAUCAAGGGCAUAGAGUCUCUUUUCAUGUAACAAUUUCCAGAGGGGAAACCUGUUAUUCGUUAGAGCAGAAAUAGCCAUUGUGAAGAAACUAGAGUCCCUUCUGAAAUGUUUCCCACAUCAACUUCUUUCUAACCACUCAGUGAGCUAAGAUACUUUUUGCACACUGGUUUUCCUGACUAUGGUUCUCCCUCCUGUCUCCCAAGGUGAUUCCCAUUAUUUCACCUGGAUCAGCAAAAGUAAAUGAAGCUUGCUAAAUAUGUGCCUUGCCAAGAAAUAAGGCACAACACUAAUGUUCUUGCCAAUAAAUAAGGCACAACACUAAAGUGCAAAGGAACAGCACAAUCUAACAGAACAGUCUGAAAUUGCACAUAAUUCUUUCCUUCACCUCCCAAAGAAUAAUAAACGCUUUUGGAAGAAGACUGAAAAUUCCAGGAAAGCAGGAAAUCAAACAGACAGCACGCCAUCAUCUUCUACCAAAUGUCCUCUGGGCUCUUUCCUUCAUUUGCAAAUGUUGGACAAGGAAAGCUUUCCAAGGAAAGCUCCAAAACACGGCACGAUGGAAGCUUUUUUAAGUGCUUGCAGUCAUCUAUAGCAUCUUCAAUACUUGGAAAGUGGAAAGGAUUUCCAGAGAAUUCUAAAAUGAGUGUUGCUCUCCUCCAAGCAUCCUACAGCAUUGGCAAAAGCCAAAAUGGUGACUUUUUUCACCCUUAGAAUUGCCAAAGGAAAAUGAGCAGGAUUUGGGGAAGCAGAGCAAAGAGAAGCACUGUAAAGCAUCAAGACUAUUUCUCUUUAUUCUUAAAGGUCAGCAAGCUGUGUUGCUUCCUGAAGAAGCUUUGAGGGAUGAUUCACACAAACUUUGCGACCUCCUUCAGGUGUUAUUAUUAUUUCAGGCCUAAUGAAACCACAGUCUAUGCUAUUUUGAACAAAAUAAAGAGAAAAGAAGAAGAAUUAAAGAAAUAUGCAGAGAAGGUCUGAAGGACAAAUAUUUAAAAAAUCAUAUGUGCAUGAUAACUGCAGCAAGAUUAGUAUUCUUUCCAUCUGUGCACACAGAUGGAAAAAUUCGGCCUUGCUCACAAUGGAGAAACAAUUGGUGAAGAUGAUGGAACUUGCUGAGAUGGCUAAAUUGACUUCUUUGAUCAGAGAAAAGUCAAUAGUUGCAUACAUUGCUGACUGGAAAUUCCUUAUGGACUUUUUGUGUAAUACAGAAAAAAUGAACUUAAGAGUUAUGGUUUUGAUGAUUCCACAGGAUAGGUUAUAGAAAAGAGAGAGUUGUGUUGUAACCAUAGAAUAAAAAGUAAAGUUGUGAUUGUACAUAUGACUGCUGUAAAGAAGAUUGGAAACUACUUCUUUGCAGUUUUUUUUCUUUUCUAUUUUUCUUCCAGGUUGCUACAUCGAGUCUGCUGCAUUGAGCCAACUCUUCUAUGCUACAGGGCAGUAUUAAAGCAGAUAUAAACAAUGGGUUUCAGUUCAGAAGAGGACAUUCAUUCUCUAUCAUAUCCCGAGAGGGAAAUGAGAGAAAUAAUGAGAUGCAAUUUGAUGUGAUGAGAUUGGUGACACUACUU